This 427-nucleotide ribosomal RNA is filed under the name Priestia megaterium. Its description in RNAcentral is "bacterial SSU rRNA". It matches the Rfam family "Bacterial small subunit ribosomal RNA", at positions 69 to 480 of the family's 1533-position model. Lineage: Bacteria; Bacillati; Bacillota; Bacilli; Caryophanales; Bacillaceae. The record is from RNAcentral.
UGAUUAGAAGCUUGCUUCUAUGACGUUAGCGGCGGACGGGUGAGUAACACGUGGGCAACCUGCCUGUAAGACUGGGAUAACUUCGGGAAACCGAAGCUAAUACCGGAUAGGAUCUUCUCCUUCAUGGGAGAUGAUUGAAAGAUGGUUUCGGCUAUCACUUACAGAUGGGCCCGCGGUGCAUUAGCUAGUUGGUGAGGUAACGGCUCACCAAGGCAACGAUGCAUAGCCGACCUGAGAGGGUGAUCGGCCACACUGGGACUGAGACACGGCCCAGACUCCUACGGGAGGCAGCAGUAGGGAAUCUUCCGCAAUGGACGAAAGUCUGACGGAGCAACGCCGCGUGAGUGAUGAAGGCUUUCGGGUCGUAAAACUCUGUUGUUAGGGAAGAACAAGUACAAGAGUAACUGCUUGUACCUUGACGGUACCU